RNAcentral lists this ribosomal RNA (332 nucleotides) under uncultured eukaryote. Its description in RNAcentral is "partial 18S ribosomal RNA". It matches the Rfam family "Eukaryotic small subunit ribosomal RNA", at positions 1470 to 1796 of the family's 1831-position model. The record is from RNAcentral.
CCCUUAGAUGUUCUGGGCUGCACACGUGCUACACUGGCAGGUUCAGCGAGCUUCAUGCCCUGAUCUGAAAGGAAUGGGAAAUCUUUUCAAAACCUGCCGUGCUUGGGAUAGAUGUUUGCAAUUAUUCAUCUUCAACGAGGAUUGCCUUGUAAGCGCACGUCAUCAGCGUGCAUUGAAUACGACCCUGUAUUCUGUACACACCGCCCGUCGCUCCUACCGAAUGAAGUUUUCGGUGAGUUGACAGGAGGAUUUUUUUGAAACUGGUUCGCCAGUGGAUUUUAGAUCCAAAUGCCAACGAAUCGAUGGCUUUAGAGGAAGGAGAAGUCGUAACA